UGGGGAAUUUUGCACAAUGGGGGCAACCCUGAUGCAGCGACGCCGCGUGAUUUAGAAUGCCUUCGGGUUGUAAAAAUCUUUUGUAUGGGAAGAAAAUGACAGUACCAUACGAAUAAGGACCGGCUAAUUACGUGCCAGCAGCCGCGGUAAUACGUAAGGUCCGAGCGUUGUCCGGAAUCAUUGGGCGUAAAGGGUACGUAGGCGGAUAAGCAAGUUAGAAGUGAAAUCCUAUAGCUCAACUAUAGUAAGCUUUUAAAACUGUUCAUCUUGAGGUAUGGAAGGGAAAGUGGAAUUCCUAGUGUAGCGGUGAAAUGCGCAGAUAUUAGGAGGAAUACCGGUGGCGAAGGCGACUUUCUGGCCAUAAACUGACGCUGAGGUACGAAAGCGUGGGUAGCAAACAGG
This 402-nucleotide ribosomal RNA is filed under the name Actinomycetes bacterium. Its description in RNAcentral is "Actinobacteria bacterium partial 16S ribosomal RNA". It matches the Rfam family "Bacterial small subunit ribosomal RNA", at positions 355 to 776 of the family's 1533-position model. Lineage: Bacteria; Bacillati; Actinomycetota; Actinomycetes. The record is from RNAcentral.